GAAAGCGGUGCUAAUACCGAAUAAGACCACGGUAUCACAUGAUACAGUGGGAAAAGGUGGCCUCUGUAUAUGCUAUCACUUGGAGAUAAGCUCGCGGACCAUUAGCUUGUUGGUAGGGUAACGGCCUACCAAGGCCAAGAUGGUUAGCUGGUCUGAGAGGAUGAUCAGCCACACUGGAACUGAGACACGGUCCAGACUCCUACGGGAGGCAGCAGUGGGGAAUAUUGCGCAAUGGGGGAAACCCUGACGCAGUGACGCCGUGUGAGUGAUGAAGGUUUUCGGAUCGUAAAGCUCUGUCAGAUGGGAAGAAUAAAGGCAGGGAAGAUAUUUCUGCCUGAUGACGGUACCAUCAGAGGAAGCACCGGCUAACUCCGUGCCAGCAGCCGCGGUAAUACGGAGGGUGCAAACGUUGUUCGGAAUUACUGGGCGUAAAGCGCAUGUAGGCGGAUAUGGAAGUCAGAUGUGAAAGCCCUUGGCUCAACCAAGGAAGUGCAUCUGAAACCACAUAUCUUGAGUAUGACAGAGGGAAGUGGAAUUUCCAGUGUA
RNAcentral lists this ribosomal RNA (546 nucleotides) under uncultured bacterium. RNAcentral's name for it is "bacterial SSU rRNA". It matches the Rfam family "Bacterial small subunit ribosomal RNA", at positions 153 to 677 of the family's 1533-position model. The record is from RNAcentral.